AGGUGGGAAAAAAAUGAAUUGCAUCCAUUUUGGAGCAAGACUAUAACAUAAAAUGUGGAAAAAGUGAAGCACUGUGAAUGCGUUC
This is a long non-coding RNA of Thalassophryne amazonica, 85 nucleotides long. RefSeq lists it as uncharacterized. NCBI's taxonomy places the organism in Eukaryota, Metazoa, Chordata, Actinopteri, Batrachoidiformes, Batrachoididae. The transcript is spliced from 3 exons. The record is from RefSeq and is a predicted model, not a curated record.